This 117-nucleotide ribosomal RNA is filed under the name Danio rerio (zebrafish). Lineage: Eukaryota; Metazoa; Chordata; Actinopteri; Cypriniformes; Danionidae. The record is from RNAcentral.
UGACACAGCCAUAUCACCCUGCUGCCCAAGACCGGUUACUCACUGAAGCUAAGCAGGGCUGAGCCUGGUUAGUACCUGGAUGGGAGACCACUAGGGAACACUAGGUUGAUUUUGGAA